Non-coding RNA from Picea glauca (white spruce), 108 nucleotides. NCBI's taxonomy places the organism in Eukaryota, Viridiplantae, Streptophyta, Pinopsida, Pinales, Pinaceae. The record is from Rfam.
AGUGUGUAACUUAGCCAAGAAUGACUUGCCCGCAUACUGCUGUGGAUUAUUGUUCCACAUGCGCAUUAGUUUUGCGGGCAAGCAGUUCUUGGCAAAGCGUCCCUCUCU